UACGUAGGGCGCAAGCGUUGUCCGGAAUUAUUGGGCGUAAAGAGCUCGUAGGCGGUCUGUUACGUCCGCUGUGAAAACCCAGGGCUUAACCCUGGGCUUGCAGUGGAUACGGGCAGACUAGAGGCAGGUAGGGGAGAAUGGAAUUCCCGGUGUAGCGGUGAAAUGCGCAGAUAUCGGGAAGAACACCCGUGGCGAAGGCGGUUCUCUGGGACGGUACUGACGCUGAGACGCGAAAGCGUGGGGAGCGAACAGG
Molecule: ribosomal RNA, 253 nt
Filed under: uncultured bacterium
Lineage: Bacteria
Description: partial 16S ribosomal RNA
Rfam family: Bacterial small subunit ribosomal RNA
Source: RNAcentral